UAGUCUGCAACUCGACUACAUGAAGCUGGAAUCGCUAGUAAUCGCAGAUCAGAAUGCUGCGGUGAAUACGUUCCCGGGUCUUGUACACACCGCCCGUCACACCAUGGGAGUCGGAAAUGCCCGAAGCCGGUGACCAAACCAAUAAGGAAGGAGCCGUCGAAGGCAGGUCUGAUAACUGGGGUGAAGUCGUAACAAGGUAUC
RNAcentral lists this ribosomal RNA (201 nucleotides) under uncultured bacterium. Its description in RNAcentral is "partial 16S ribosomal RNA". It matches the Rfam family "Bacterial small subunit ribosomal RNA", at positions 1301 to 1500 of the family's 1533-position model. The record is from RNAcentral.